This 226-nucleotide long non-coding RNA is filed under the name Nicotiana benthamiana. RNAcentral describes it as "long non-coding RNA (NBEN_LNC001235)". Lineage: Eukaryota; Viridiplantae; Streptophyta; Magnoliopsida; Solanales; Solanaceae. The record is from RNAcentral.
AGGAAUGAUUUCAAUUGGUAGUAAACAAUGACUACACAACGGUAAAUUCUAACAGUACCUGCUCAAUCUUCUGUUCCAACUUCCUCAUCUGGUUUCUUACAGAUCCCAUAUCAUUUGAAGAUUUAGCCUCUUCAUGUCGAACUGUCGGAGAAGCAGCAGAUGCGACUUUUGAAGGUUGAGUAACCUCUUCAUCUUCAUAAUUAAGGUUUACUGGGAGGUUGAGCGC